CCUACGGGUGGCAGCAGUGAGGAAUAUUGGUCAAUGGACGAGAGUCUGAACCAGCCAAGUCGCGUGAAGGAUGACUGCCCUAUGGGUUGUAAACUUCUUUUAUAUGGGAGUAAAAUGUUCCACGUGUGGGAUUUUGUAUGUACCAUAUGAAUAAGGAUCGGCUAACUCCGUGCCAGCAGCCGCGGUAAUACGGAGGAUCCGAGCGUUAUCCGGAUUUAUUGGGUUUAAAGGGAGCGUAGGGGGCUUGUUAAGUCAGUUGUGAAAGUUUGCGGCUCAACCGUAAAAUUGCAGUUGAAACUGGCAGUCUUGAGUGCAGUAGAGGUGGGCGGAAUUCGUGGUGUAGCGGUGAAAUGCUUAGAUAUCACGAAGAACUCCGAUUGCGAAGGCAGUUCACUGGACUGCAACUGACACUGAGGCUCGAAAGUGUGGGUAUCAAACAGGAUUAGAUACCCUUGUAGUC
RNAcentral lists this ribosomal RNA (460 nucleotides) under uncultured bacterium. RNAcentral's name for it is "partial 16S ribosomal RNA". It matches the Rfam family "Bacterial small subunit ribosomal RNA", at positions 338 to 795 of the family's 1533-position model. The record is from RNAcentral.